This is a long non-coding RNA of Sus scrofa (pig), 87 nucleotides long. It matches the Rfam family "HOXB13 antisense RNA 1 conserved region 2". The record is from Rfam. Lineage: Eukaryota; Metazoa; Chordata; Mammalia; Artiodactyla; Suidae.
AAGGACCCCGCAGUUGGAGCCUCUCCGCUGGGUUCGCUUUUCGCUGGGCUGCUUAGGGAACCUAGAUUCCAGAAAAGUUUUCGGAGG